Molecule: ribosomal RNA, 428 nt
Filed under: uncultured Sphingobacteriales bacterium
Lineage: Bacteria; Pseudomonadati; Bacteroidota; Sphingobacteriia; Sphingobacteriales
Description: bacterial SSU rRNA
Rfam family: Bacterial small subunit ribosomal RNA
Source: RNAcentral
UCGAUGAUACGCGAGGAACCUUACUGGCUUAAAUGUAGAGUGCAUUUUUUAGAGAUAGAAAUUCCCUUCGGGGCUUUCUGCAAGGUGCUGCAUGGUUGUCGUCAGCUCGUGCCGUGAGGUGUCGGGUUAAGUCCCAUAACGAGCGCAACCCUUAUCGUUAGUUGCCAUCUGGUAAUGCAGGGGACUCUAGCGAAACUGCCACCGUAAGGUGAGAGGAAGGUGGGAUGACGUCAAAUCAGCACGGCCCUUAUGUCCAGGGCUACACACGUGUUACAAUGGUCGGUACAGAGGGCAGCUACCUGGUGACAGGAUGCUAAUCUCGAAAACCGGUCUCAGUUCGGAUCGAAGUCUGCAACUCGACUUCGUGAAGCUGGAUUCGCUAGUAAUCGCGCAUCAGCUAUGGCGCGGUGAAUACGUUCCCGGGUCUU